Molecule: ribosomal RNA, 240 nt
Filed under: uncultured bacterium
Lineage: Bacteria
Description: partial 16S ribosomal RNA
Rfam family: Bacterial small subunit ribosomal RNA
Source: RNAcentral
AUACGUAGGGGGCAAGCGUUGUCCGGAAUCACUGGGCGUAAAGAGCAUGUAGGCGGCUUGAUAAGUCGGAUGUGAAAGUUCACAGCUCAACUGUGAAAUUGCAUCCGAAACUGUCAAGCUUGAAUAUCGGAGAGGUAAGCGGAAUUCCUAGUGUAGCGGUGAAAUGCGUAGAGAUUAGGAAGAACACCGGUGGCGAAGGCGGCUUACUGGACGAAUAUUGACGCUGAGAUGCGAAAGCGU